GACGUAGGGCGCGAGCGUUGUCCGGAUUUAUUGGGCGUAAAGGGUGCGUAGGCGGCGCGGUAAGUCGGGUGUGAAAUCUCGGAGCUUAACUUCGAGACUGCAUUCGAUACUGCCGUGCUUGAGGACUGGAGAGGAGACUGGAAUUUACGGUGUAGCGGUGAAAUGCGUAGAUAUCGUAAGGAAGACCAGUGGCGAAGGCGGGUCUCUGGACAGUUCCUGACGCUGAGGCACGAAGGUCAGGGGAGCAAACGGG
This 253-nucleotide ribosomal RNA is filed under the name uncultured bacterium. Its description in RNAcentral is "partial 16S ribosomal RNA". It matches the Rfam family "Bacterial small subunit ribosomal RNA", at positions 524 to 776 of the family's 1533-position model. The record is from RNAcentral.